Molecule: transfer RNA, 72 nt
Filed under: Pseudomonadota bacterium
Lineage: Bacteria; Pseudomonadati; Pseudomonadota
Also listed under: 3 other names
Description: tRNA-Val
Rfam family: tRNA
About the family: Transfer RNA (tRNA) molecules are approximately 80 nucleotides in length. Their secondary structure includes four short double-helical elements and three loops (D, anti-codon, and T loops). Further hydrogen bonds mediate the characteristic L-shaped molecular structure. tRNAs have two regions of fundamental functional importance: the anti-codon, which is responsible for specific mRNA codon recognition, and the 3' end, to which the tRNAs corresponding amino acid is attached (by aminoacyl-tRNA synthetases). tRNAs cope with the degeneracy of the genetic code in two manners: having more than one tRNA (with a specific anti-codon) for a particular amino acid; and 'wobble' base-pairing, i.e. permitting non-standard base-pairing at the 3rd anti-codon position.
Source: RNAcentral
GGGCGAUUAGCUCAGUGGGAGAGCGCUUCCUUCACACGGAAGAGGUCGCAGGUUCAAUCCCUGCAUCGCCUA